This 494-nucleotide ribosomal RNA is filed under the name uncultured bacterium. RNAcentral's name for it is "bacterial SSU rRNA". It matches the Rfam family "Bacterial small subunit ribosomal RNA", at positions 903 to 1397 of the family's 1533-position model. The record is from RNAcentral.
AAAUGAAUAGACGGGGACCCGCACAAGCGGUGGAGCAUGUGGUUUAAUUCGAAGAUACGCGAAAAACCUUACCAGGACUUGACAUCCUUCUGACCGAUCUUGUAAUGAGAUCUUUCCUUCGGGACAGAAGUGACAGGUGGUGCAUGGUCGUCGUCAGCUCGUGUCGUGAGAUGUUGGGUUAAGUCCCGCAACGAGCGCAACCCUUGUCUUUAGUUGCCAGCAUUUAGUUGGGCACUCUAGAGAGACUGCCGGUGAUAAACCGGAGGAAGGUGGGGAUGACGUCAGAUCAUCAUGCCCCUUAUGUCCUGGGCAACACACGUGCUACAAUGGGACGGACAACGAGCUGCAAACUAGCGAUAGUAAGCCAAUCUCUUAAACCGUCUCUCAGUUCGGACUGGAGUCUGCAACUCGACUCCACGAAGUCGGAAUCGCUAGUAAUCGCGAAUCAGCAUGUCGCGGUGAAUACGUUCCCGGGUCUUGUACACACCGCCCGU